This 161-nucleotide ribosomal RNA is filed under the name uncultured bacterium. RNAcentral's name for it is "partial 16S ribosomal RNA". It matches the Rfam family "Bacterial small subunit ribosomal RNA", at positions 355 to 509 of the family's 1533-position model. The record is from RNAcentral.
UGGGGAAUCUUCCGCAAUGGGCGAAAGCCUGACGGAGCAACGCCGCGUGAUCGAAUGAAGGCCUUCGGGUUGUAAAGAUCUGUUGACAGGGACGAAUAAGCAAUGCGAAUAGUUUUGUGUAUGACGGUACCUGUUUAGAAAGCUCCGGCUAACUACGUGCC